RNAcentral lists this ribosomal RNA (609 nucleotides) under uncultured fungus. RNAcentral describes it as "eukaryotic LSU rRNA". It matches the Rfam family "Eukaryotic large subunit ribosomal RNA", at positions 23 to 673 of the family's 3401-position model. The record is from RNAcentral. Lineage: Eukaryota; Fungi.
ACCCGCUGAAUUUAAGCAUAUCAAUAAGCGGAGGAAAAGAAACCAACAGGGAUUGCCUUAGUAACGGCGAGUGAAGCGGCAAAAGCUCAAAUUUGAAAUCGGCCACCAGGUCGAGUUGUAAUUUGUAGAUUGUAUCUUGAGAGCGGAUUAAAGUCUGUUGGAACACAGCGCCUUAGAGGGUGACGGCCCCGUAAAAUCUAUUCUCAUUGUAAGAUACUUUCGAAGAGUCGAGUUGUUUGGGAAUGCAGCUCUAAGUGGGAGGUAAAUUCCUUCUAAAGCUAAAUAUUGACGAGAGACCGAUAGCGAACAAGUACUGUGAAGGAAAGAUGAAAAGCACUUUGAAAAGAGAGUGAAAAAGUACGUGAAAUUGUUAAAAGGGAAGGGUAUUGAAUUAGACUUGGUGCUGUUGUUCAACUGUGUUUCGGCAUAGUGUACUCAGCAGUACUAGGCCAAGGUGGGGUGUUUGGGAGUGAAAAAGAAGUAGGAAGGUAACUCUUCGGAGUGUUAUAGCCUACUUUCAUAGCUCCUCAGGCGCCUCAGGACUGCGCUUCGGCAAGGACCUUGGCAUAAUGAUUCUAUACCGCCCGUCUUGAAACACGGACCAAGGAG